AAUUUGACAUAGAUUUGUAUAUAAAAUAACGUGUUAAGUAAUUUCGAUAAUUGUAUGAUUGUAUAUAUAUUGUUUUCAUAUUCAAAAAUAGUUUCUUUGCCGCAGAUAGGAAGUCAAGUCAGCUCUGAAUGAUCGAGGAAACACGCUUGACAAAUAGCGAAAACCUAAAGGUAUGGGGCAAAAACAAAAAAAAAGCGGGAAAAGCAGGUUGAUCGAACAGGUUCAUUCGCCGUGGAGUUAAGUUAAGUCUAUGAAACACAGUGGAGAACAGGUCCAACCAAACCAACUGUUUCAAUAGCGAUUAAACAAAUGAGUUGGCUCCUUCGUUUGUUCGGCCCCAGAUGUUUUCGGCUGGCUUGUCAAUCGGCUCCAAGUUAAAUGGAUUGUAGUUGGUACCCUGUCUCAGGGUCUAGCGUAAUAUUUGCUCGCAAACAAAAAGGCGAACAGAACAAUCGAAAUACUUGAAGGCUCCCAAAAAAAAACGAAAAACUAAAUAAAAAAGAAAACCGAGACUCGUGACUUAACAAGGCCAAGAAGCUAAAAUGGAGGGGAAUGACGAUGGAUUUGUAUGGAAGAUGAAUGGCGAGAGCAGCAAUUGUGCAACCAUUUCCACACCAUCAGCGGGAAAUCCAUCAGGUUGGAUUAGAAUAAUAUUUCUACCAUAAAAGAAAAAAUUGGUCACCAUUAUGCAGUACACAUUUAACCACCAACCUGAUAGAACCUAUUACAGAUACUUUUAUUAAAUCGAGAUAAUAACGUUCUCUUUUUGCAAAUAUUUGAAUUAUUUCAAUAAUGAGAUUCUCAAUGAUUUGGGAAUUUUUUCUGUGUGUACUUGAAAAUGUUCAAUACGAUCACCUCCUGUUUGCCAUUUGACAAUUGAUGGGCCGCACAUUUGUCUUUCACUUGUCGCCUUGCCGUCUUGUCUUGCACCUUCAUCAGCCAUCUCUUUCAUUGUGCGCAUACCCAUCUCUCUCUCUGCAGCUCGAUUUCUUUCCCUUUCUCGCGGGCUCUUUUGAAGUGAACCCGUUUUGACAAAUGUGUGUCAUUGCUGGGCCAUAAAAAGACACGAUCUUUGGAGUCUUUUGCUCUCCGAAUUCGAUUUUGUUUGGCAAGGCCACCCCCUUAACACCUUUCUCAACACAAUUUCCAUCUUCGAGAAGACGACUAAAAAAGAUUUGUACCAAUUCUUAUGCGAAGAAGCGUUUGAAAAUUAAGUCUCUUUGCCGCGUUAUUUAUUGCAUAAUUAUAGGAAAAACGGCGACACAACAAAAAAAGAAGCCUUGACGAGCCCAGCAUCCCGUCCAAUAGAAACCAAUGAUCAUAAGCAGAUGAAAAAUGCCAUAAACCCACAUAUGCAUAUGUAUUAAGUGGAAACGUGUAAUUUGCAUAAAAUCACCUGAUUGAACGUUAAAUAUUUUAUUUAAGAUUCAGAUUAUGGAGUCGAGAAAUGCUCAUAAAGAUCAAAAUCCAACGGCUUUAAGAAAAAAGAUUUCUUUCAGUGUCUGCAUCGAAAUCAAACUGAAAGAGAGAGAUGACCCAACUUUAGAGCACCUGACUCGAUAUACAACAAACAGAAUAUUUGCAUAAAUUACCCAAAAAGUUUUUGAGGCUACUUUACAUUUUUAAUGAACAACAAUAAAAUAGUCUUAGGCAUAUUGAAAUGAUUAGGUACUCCCCUUUUGGUCUUUUUUGUUUGUGUUUUUCCGAUCAAUGUGCAAAGGUGAUGGAGGUAAACAUUUUAUGACAUUA
Long non-coding RNA from Drosophila simulans, 1749 nucleotides. RefSeq lists it as uncharacterized. The transcript has 4 exons. The record is from RefSeq and is a predicted model, not a curated record. NCBI's taxonomy places the organism in Eukaryota, Metazoa, Arthropoda, Insecta, Diptera, Drosophilidae.